CAACGUGACUAACCUGUCCCAGGUGGGGGGACGAACCUGAGGAAACUCGGGCUAAUACCGCAUGACGUCUCGUUGUCGCAUGGCAGUGAGAUCAAAGAGGGCCUCUACAUGUAAGCUCUCGCCCAGGGAGGGGGUCGCGGCGUAUCAGCUUGUUGGUGGGGUAAUGGCCUACCAAGGCUACGACGCGUAGCGGGUCUGAGAGGACGACCCGUCACAUUGGGACUGAGAUACGGCCCAG
Molecule: ribosomal RNA, 238 nt
Filed under: uncultured bacterium
Lineage: Bacteria
Description: partial 16S ribosomal RNA
Rfam family: Bacterial small subunit ribosomal RNA
Source: RNAcentral